This 423-nucleotide ribosomal RNA is filed under the name uncultured bacterium. RNAcentral describes it as "partial 16S ribosomal RNA". It matches the Rfam family "Bacterial small subunit ribosomal RNA", at positions 359 to 774 of the family's 1533-position model. The record is from RNAcentral.
GAAUCUUGGACAAUGGGCGAAAGCCUGAUCCAGCAACGCUGCGUGCAGGAUGAAGGCCUUCGGGUUGUAUACUGCUUUUGUACGGAACGAAAAGCUUUGGGUUAAUACCCUGGAGUCAUGACGGCACCGUAAGAAUAAGCCCCGGCUAACUAUGUGCCAACAGCCGCGGUAAUACGUAGGGUGCAAGCGUUAAUCGGAAUUACUGUGCGUAAAGCGUGCGCAGGCGGUUUUGUAAGUCAGAGGUGAAAUCCCCGGGGUCAACCUGGGAACUGCCUUUGUGACUGCAAGGCUAGAGUACGGCAGGGGGGGGUGGAAUUCCGCGUGUAGCAGUGAAAUGCGUAGAUAUGCGGAGGAACGCCGAUGGCGAAGGCAACCCCCUGGGCCUGUACUGACGCUCAUGCACGAAAGCGUGGGGAGCAAACA